UUGAAGGGAAACGAUUGAAGUCAGUCGUACCGGUGGGUAAUCAGCCUUUCGGCGUGAUUAUGUGGAGCGUGAGGAGUUAAACGCCCUCAUGGCCUGCAUAUUCGUGUUCUUUGGGUGUACUUACCCGCAUGGUAGGUUAACAUCAAUUUCGAACGUCAUAAAAUGAUUGGUGGAAUGUAGCUUCGGUCUCGUAUUGAAGUGUUAUAGCCCCUGAUAGAUGUAACGAUUGAGAUUGAGGAUUGCAACGAAUACCUUUCGAGGCUAUUCGCCUGAUCUCUGGAAGUCACUUUGGUGUCGAAAGCGUGCUUUCGCCGUUAAGGAUGGCGACCAAAAGGUUAGAGCGUGAUUAAAUUCGUUAAGGAUGUUGACGUAAAUCAC
Molecule: ribosomal RNA, 378 nt
Filed under: uncultured Glomeromycotina
Lineage: Eukaryota; Fungi; Glomeromycota
Description: eukaryotic LSU rRNA
Source: RNAcentral